AUCUAGCUGAUGAGUCCCAAAUAAGAUGAAAAUGCACAUCCUAGAU
Molecule: non-coding RNA, 46 nt
Organism: Schistosoma curassoni
Lineage: Eukaryota; Metazoa; Platyhelminthes; Trematoda; Strigeidida; Schistosomatidae
Source: Rfam